CCUACGGGGGGCUGCAGUCAAGAAUCUUCCACAAUGGCCGAAAGGCUGAUGGAGCAAUGCCGCGUGCAGGAAGACGCCUCUCGGGGUGUAAACUGCUUUUAUAUGGGAAGAAUUUGUGACGGUACCAUAAGAAUAAGAGGUUGCUAACUCUGUGCCAGCAGCAGCGGUAAUACAGAGACCUCAAGCGUUAUCCGGAUUUAUUGGGCGUAAAGCGUCCGUAGGUGGUUUUAUAAGUCGAUGGUCAAAUCUUCAGGCUCAACUUGGAGGCUGCUAUCGAUACUGUAAAGCUUGAGGCUGAGAGAGGCAAGCAGAAUUCUCAGUGUAGUGGUAAUAAGCGCUGAUAUCGGGAAGAACACCAAAGGCGAAGGCAGCUUGCUGGAACAUGCCUGACACUCAUGGACGAAAGCGUGGGUAGCGAAUCGGAUUAGAUACCCCUGUAGUC
RNAcentral lists this ribosomal RNA (442 nucleotides) under uncultured bacterium. RNAcentral's name for it is "bacterial SSU rRNA". It matches the Rfam family "Bacterial small subunit ribosomal RNA", at positions 338 to 795 of the family's 1533-position model. The record is from RNAcentral.